Molecule: long non-coding RNA, 714 nt
Organism: Osmerus eperlanus (European smelt)
Lineage: Eukaryota; Metazoa; Chordata; Actinopteri; Osmeriformes; Osmeridae
Exons: 5
Source: RefSeq, a predicted model, not a curated record
CAACACCACAUUUAAAGAACCCAAGCCCCCCUUCUACUGUUUUCGGGAUCUGCAAUUCCUCGACUGACUCUACCCCUUACAGGACCAAGAUCACACAUAGUUUGGGUGUGACCGUGAGGAAGGGUCGGGUCAAGCAUUAACUAAACAAUUUAGUAAUUUCAGCACGGUGACCAGGCGUACGUUUUGCAGAGACACACGCACACGACAGCACUACAGCCAUGUCGGACUCCGAGACCGCCGCCGCCCCCGCCGAGUCCCCCGUCCCUGCAGCCUGCGCUGCCAUCAAGGCAGACCUGGACAAGUGUGUGAGUGACCAUGGCGGGGAGGGCUGUAAGGAUCUGAUGGAGGCAUUCGCAGCCUGUGUGAAGAGUGCAGCAGAGGCGUCGUGAGGAGAGGAGCUCGACUCGGAAAUGUCCACUGCACUGAGUCCUCCACGUUUCCCAGCAUUCCCUUCUGCACAACGGCACUGGACUGAACGAUGAUUGGGGGCGGGGUUCCGGUUCAAGAUGGCAGAAACCACAUUUGUCUCCUCCCCCCUAUGUUAAGGCUUAAAUGGUGCGUCCUGAAUUGCCCCCCCCCCCCCCCAUCCCCCCUUCCCCCCCCCCCGUGGUUAUUUACAUCAAUUUGUAGACAAGUCCAGAGUCUCUGGGUUUUAUGUAAAUUGUCCACCUGAGAUGCAUACAUUUAAAUGGAAUAAAGAUGAUGAGAUACUGA